AUCAACACCCCCUAAGGGUCCCCAGCUGGCAUGUUGGCAGCGUAUAACGCACAGAAGAUGUCGGUGUUGGUUUUUUGUUUUUUUUUUUUCUGGGGUGGAUCCACUAUAGGUAACUUGGCAGGCUCAGCUAUUUACGGAGCCCGCUGCCUCUCUACAAACUGUAAUUUAUUUAUUUCAGCCUGUGAUGUAUAGCGAAGAAGAGUAGGAUUUUGUCACUCGCUUGCAGGUCUCCUCAUCGAUGCAUGUCAGGUUUGUGUGUGUGAGUGUGUGUUUUUCUUUUUCAUCUAGCAGAUUGCGGGGGCGGUAAACGUGAGUAGUCUUCCGUGUAGAAUGGAAAGCCAAACUUCUGUGGCGAAGACCCCAAGCCUUUCUCAAACAAACACCUGCUGCUGUUGCUGGGGGCUACCUACAACGCUCCCCCGACAACACACACUUGCACACACCUCAUUAGACGGCGGCUGCAGCUGGCAAAAGCAAAGAUGGAGGGGAGGUGGGUUCUGUGUUUGUGUAUUCACCCAGCAGAGUUCAACAGAAGGAUGCUGCCACUUGGAAGAAGGGAGCUCCUGAAAGAAGGUGCAAAUGGAAAAGCGAGGUGUGGUUAAUAACCUGCAAACGACUCCCUCUUUUUGACCUUAGUGAUAGAGGAAAACACACUUCAAAUAUUUGGAUCAAAUGGAGAGGAUGAGACUGGUCUUCAUGGGUAAGACAAGAGAAUCGAAUCCCAAACACUUCUGUUCCAGUGGAAUUGUUCUCUUCCAGGAGUCAAGAAUUUGCAUAAACUCAACUCCUAUCUACAGUGAUGCCCCAAGUCUCUAAAAGAAGAGGACACAGGAAUCCAUUUUUAGCAGAUAAAGUCAUUGAGGCAUAGAGAAAUGAAGUGAUUUCCCCAAGGCCACGCAGUAGCCUACUGGAGGAUCCAGGAUUAGAACCCAUAAGCUUCUGACGCCUAGGCUCUACCCACUGCACCAGCCUGCUUUCCAGUGUCGUCCACCCAGGCAAUACCAGCAAUGGAGACAAGGUUAGUCCUUUGCAUCUGAUGUCAGAGAAGGCUAGAUUUAUACAACUUCAGUCUCCUCAGAAUUGAUCUAUGAUACGAUGUGGGUGAAAUGGAAAGAGCAAAGAGGAAACCAGCUGAUUACAAUCGCAGAAGGGGAUGAAUACAUGGAGAAAGCACACAUGACCACGGCUACCAACCACACGGUAGAAAUACCACUUGUCGACGACCCGAUAAGCCCCGGAUGUCGGUCAGCGUUCUGAAGCCUUUCAGAGUGUUCCAGAAGUUUCAGACCACUCCUUGGACUGGAGGCUUCCGGGUUGGCGCAAAAUUUAAUCCCACGCCUGGUGAAGAAGCUGCAUGGAAAGAGGGCUUCUGAUACUGAGGACAGACACCUUUGCUUCUAAAGAGCAUCAAGCCUUGUGCAAACAAAUCCUCACACUCCAGCAGUGGGGUAGAUACUAUCUACUCCAUUUCACAGAUGGAAAAACUGAGGCCUGAACCAGGCUCUAGCAGUCGAGAAGCCACCUUGAUGGAGAAACUGAGGCACCAGUCAGUCAAGGGACUUGUCCCCAUCCUUGAAGCCUGCCCGUAGCAGAGUGGGAAAUCCGUCCCCGUCUCUCCGUCUUCUCCACACCUCAUUCUAAAGGUCAAGACACCACCUUGCCGCCAGCUUGCCUUCAAAACUGGAACCUCAAAGUAAUUCAUUCCCAAACUUACCUUCCACUACGUAGGUGCAGAGGGCGCAGAGACAGAAGGUGACCAGGAUGAGAAGUUUCAUAAUUGCCGGCAGAUGGAUUGGGUAGCAGGAACAGACAGAGCCAAGCACCGAAUUAAGCGCUGGAGGCCCCAAAGAGACAAUGAAGACCAGAGUCCUGGCUGAGCUUUUAUCGGCUGGUGAAAGCGCAUUCGCUGGAAAGUUCCAAUUCACCCAUUCUGGUGGACGGAAAGGCGGGCGAGAGGGCCGGCAGAUUACAAAAGGCAAGUCAGAGUUACAUGUACAAAAGCCACUUUGGGUAGAACAGACCACCGUGGAAUGCCGACGUUAAACCUGAGAGCCACGGACCAGCAAGCGGUUGCCAAAGUGACCCUCUAUGGAGCCACUGAAGCCACAUAACCCAGUAGAGUCCUUCUCUCUCCAAGGCCGUGGUUAAGACCUCUUCCGGAAGUCCUCCCUUCUAUAAUCCAACAGGUUCCAUCGAAAAGCCCCCCUAUUUCACUGGAGGAAAUGGAAAAAACCUCACUCGAUAAAGAAGCAGAAAAUUCA
This is a long non-coding RNA of Ornithorhynchus anatinus (platypus), 2261 nucleotides long. RefSeq lists it as uncharacterized. The record is from RefSeq and is a predicted model, not a curated record. Lineage: Eukaryota; Metazoa; Chordata; Mammalia; Monotremata; Ornithorhynchidae. The transcript is spliced from 10 exons.